UGUCCUCAGAGAACCUGCAUCAUUGCUUGUCCUCCUUAGAUCACUGUGACAGGUGGGGUGGGAAUUCAGACACACUGCCAAGGCAAUAUCUCUGCGUGGUACUCAGGGGAACCCAGGAGAACACCCAGGAAGUCACGGUCGUUGACUUACAGGACAUUUAUAGUAGUCACAGAUAGACUGACACUGUGGCCAGUGAGCCUGCGAGAGGACUGUUUUAGGUAGUGUUUUGAAGUUCGGCAACACUUCCAAUUCUCCUACUGAUGACAAAUAUUCUAUUCGAUUUGAUUGCCUGUACGGAUUUGUCCUUAGCUGGCUGGGGAUUUUGUGGUUUAUUCAACAACACGUCUCCUUUAAUGACCUGUGAUUUUCCUCCAUUUGUCAUGUAUGUUGCGGUAAACUACCCAUCUGUGUUCCUGUGGCUGAAGACAAGGCAAUGACAGAGUAUUAUGCCAUACUCCCGAGGAGGAUGAGCUGGCCAAUCAGCAGUCUAGAGGAGGAUGAGCUGGCCAAUAAGCUGUCUACUUGCCAAGACGAUCAUCAAGGACCUCAGCCACCCGAGCAAAGGACGUUUUGGGAGCGGUUUAUCACAGAGUCUACAGAGAGGGACAGGGGAUGGGGUUCCCUGAACAACUGCUCCUGACCUGUCCUCCUGUCUUUCCCCCUGCUGGAGGUGACCACCCACCCCCUUGCACAAGCCUGCUCCAUCUGUGCCUGCUGACGAGCAGGACUGUGAGGCAGACGACUGUGUGCUCAGAUAGUGAAGUGGAGACAGUCCGAGUCAGAUAACAUCUGGACUUACACCUCCGUGGAAGAUCUUUGUCCAUGCAGCCCAUAAACUAUCAAUUUACUUGAUUCUUGUUUUAGCUCUUGUAAAGAAUCUUUGAGAUUGCUCUUGUAAUUACAUUUUAUUUUUAGAGCCCACAAUGGAAAUAAGUCAGACUUUGUGUUAUCCCUGUCAUGUUUAAAUGUAUGUGCUGUGUGUGUAUAUGUAUUUUUAACUGGCAAAAUGUAAUCUAUCAAUCAA
Long non-coding RNA from Salmo salar (Atlantic salmon), 1024 nucleotides. RefSeq lists it as uncharacterized. NCBI's taxonomy places the organism in Eukaryota, Metazoa, Chordata, Actinopteri, Salmoniformes, Salmonidae. The record is from RefSeq and is a predicted model, not a curated record.